RNAcentral lists this unclassified non-coding RNA (113 nucleotides) under Aristaeella lactis. RNAcentral describes it as "Gut-1 RNA". The record is from RNAcentral. Lineage: Bacteria; Bacillati; Bacillota; Clostridia; Eubacteriales; Aristaeellaceae.
AAAUGAAAUAUGAAAAGAGCAUCUGCUUUCGCAGGUGCUCUUUUCAUGUGAAAUAUUGGACGUCUGCGACGUCCAAUGUGAAAUAUUCCGCUUCGCGGAAUGUGAAAUAUUCG